RNAcentral lists this long non-coding RNA (297 nucleotides) under Lathyrus oleraceus (garden pea). RNAcentral describes it as "Pisum sativum (pea) long non-coding RNA (PSAT_LNC002273)". The record is from RNAcentral. Lineage: Eukaryota; Viridiplantae; Streptophyta; Magnoliopsida; Fabales; Fabaceae.
UUCCGCAGCAGCCGCAACAGCCACCACACCAGACACCACCUCAGCAGCAGCAUACUCCUUCAGGCCACACGGAGAUAUUGACGCCUAUCUCUUCCUUCGCACGGGGGCACACUCAGUUGGAUCCUACAGAGGAGAUUGACUUUGAUACUCAUAUGCAGGACGGUGGACUGGGUGAUUGACUUUGAUUAUGUUAUGCUUUUGUACUUUUGGUUUUUCUUUGUGUAUUCUUCUUUUUGGUUUAUUCAGUUUUUUUAUUUUCUUUUGCCUUGAUGUAAUCACCUAUUAUGGGUUGUCUUA